Molecule: ribosomal RNA, 460 nt
Filed under: uncultured bacterium
Lineage: Bacteria
Description: partial 16S ribosomal RNA
Rfam family: Bacterial small subunit ribosomal RNA
Source: RNAcentral
CCUACGGGAGGCAGCAGUGAGGAAUAUUGGUCAAUGGGCGCGAGCCUGAACCAGCCAAGUAGCGUGAAGGAUGACUGCCCUACGGGUUGUAAACUUCUUUUAUAAAGGAAUAAAGUGAGUCACGUGUGCCUUUUUGUAUGUACUUUAUGAAUAAGGAUUGGCUAACUCCGUGCCAGCAGCCGCGGUAAUACGGAGGAUACGAGCGUUAUCCGGAUUGAUUGGGUUUAAAGGGAGCGUAGAUGGGUUGUUAAGUCAGUUGUGAAAGUUUGCGGCUCAACCGUAAAAUUGCAAUUGAUACUGGCAGUCUUGAGUAUAGUUGAGGUAAGCGGAAUUCGUGGUGUAGCAGUGAAAUGCUUAGAUAUCACGAAGAACUCCGAUGGCGAAGGCAGCUUACUAAACUGCAACUGACAUUGAUGCUCGAAAGUGUGGGUAUCAAACAGGAUUAGAUACCCCUGUAGUC